This 358-nucleotide unclassified non-coding RNA is filed under the name Hevea brasiliensis (rubber tree). Lineage: Eukaryota; Viridiplantae; Streptophyta; Magnoliopsida; Malpighiales; Euphorbiaceae. The record is from RNAcentral.
ACAUCUCCUUCAAGUAGUGUCAUCAUUGAACUAAUAUGACUGAUGAGAAAAGGAAUCUUGAAGAUCAUAUCCUUCGUUGACCCUUUUUGCCUGAUUUCUUCAUCUACCUUUAACCAUAAUUCCACGUUGUCGUGAUCUUUAACCAUUGACUUGGGGAGAACUGCACUGAUAGGAGUGAAGGUGUCUUGCGCUUUGGCUAAUGUCCAUGGGAGACCUGAGGCCUUGGCAGAAGAUUGGAUUUCUCUAGCAGUCAUAUCCAAGGCGAGUGCGUAACCUCCAACAAAGUCCAUAGCAUCAGAUUCGGCAACAUCGCGGGCCUUCUUGCCGAUGAGAACCGCCAACUCCACCUCAUGAUCCA